CCAAAAGAGGUAUGUCCAUGUUGUAACGCCCGGGACCUGUGAAUGUGCCCUCGUUCGGGAAAAGGGUCCUUGCAGGUGGAAUUAAGUGACAGAUCUCAAGAUGAGGUCAUCCUGGAUUUAGGGUGGGCCCUGAAUCCCAUGGCAAGUGUCCUUCCAGGAGACAGACAGGGGCAGAUUGGGGACACAGAAGACAAGGCCAUGUGAAGAUGGAGGGAGAGACGAUAGAGAUGCUGCCUCCAGCCCAGGAUGCUGGGAGCUGGAACGAGCAUGGGAUGGAUUCUCUCGCAGAGCCUCCGGAAGGAACCGCCUUGAUUCUGGAUCUCUGGCCUCCGGAACUGUGAGAGCAUAACUUUGUGUGGUUAAGACACCGAGUUCGUGGUCAUUUGUGUGGCCACCCUGGGAAACAGAGACUGUGACUCCAAAACUCUCCCAGUCACCUGACCGAGAAAAGAAUGAUGCUCCAACAGCUCUGGGAAAGGUGACUCGGCCUUAGGAGACGUCACCCCUCCGGCAGGAGGCAUUUAUGGAGCCAGAAAUGUCCUUUGGAUUUGCCGUACCUUCUUGGAGGUGGUCAGAAGGGGGCUCAGCCAGCCUGCCCAGCUUAAGGAGCAGCGGGAGAUUCCGAUGCAGCGGGCCUGGGGCCGGGCCCACAACUCUGCCUUUGCAACCAGCAGCAAGCUGGUGCCGUUGCUGCCGGUCCUCAGCCCACACUCGGAGCAGAGAGUCACCCAACCGCCACCUGUGAAAUGCCAUCGUGUCAUUGCCACCACCAUCCCUGGGGUGCCGUUUGAAGAACAAAUUCUCUUGUUUUGUAUCAGGGCGCUUUGUAAGCUGUGAAGUCCUGUACAAUUAUGUAUUUCUGUAAAAAGAUGACCAAGAAUAUGAUUGAGCGGCGGUAUUUGAAGCCAAAGGACUUGGUUUAGGACCAAGUUCUAGCUCCUCUCACCAGCUAAGGAUGUCUUAGGUGAACACCUCCUUUCUCGGAGCCUGUAAAGUGGGGACGAUGGUGCUACCUCACGGGCUAGCUGUGAAGAUAAAUCAAACGCGAUCAUCGAGGGAAACAGCAGCGGGAAGAGCCCGCACACGGGAGACACCCGGUCGCAUUCUUCCUCCUGACCAUUGUCCCGUUUACAGGGUGCGAACGGUCGGGGGAGGCUGCCGCUCUUCUUUCCCCUCUCAUCCUGGAGUCCAACCUGCCAGGUCGUGAUGUAAGGGCCACUUGGUCCCCAAGGUCCGCCCAGGCUGCUCCAUGUUCCAACUGUCCUGGAGGCUGGACCACCAGUUCCUCCGCCGCGUCCCUGAGGGCGCGUGUGCCUCCACCUGCAGCUGCCCGGGGGCCUGUGAGCGAGACCUCAGCCACCGCCUCCUGGAGCUGGGGGUUUGGGCAAGAGGGAGGCCAGCAGCUCAGCGUUUCGUUUCCCUUGGGAAACUACCUGCUGCCUGAAGGUGCUUGGGGUUUGGUGGGAGCGCGGUCAGUCUCCAUGGCGAUGAGGUUUGUGGGUGUAAGCCAGCGGUGAGGGCCUGGCGCCUGCUGGAUCGGGGGGGCAGGCUCAGAGCUCCCACCCGCUCCCGGGCCUACACGGAGGGGUCUUCCGCCCACAGUGGCUUUUCCUCCACCCCCACCCCCAG
Equus caballus (horse) is the source of this 1629-nucleotide long non-coding RNA. The record is from Ensembl. NCBI's taxonomy places the organism in Eukaryota, Metazoa, Chordata, Mammalia, Perissodactyla, Equidae.